CCUACGGGAGACAGCAGUGAGGAAUAUUGGUCAAUGGCCGGAAGGCUGAACCAGCCAUGCCGCGUGAAGGUCAGUGCCCUAUGGGCGUUAAACUUCUUUUGUGCGGGAGCAAUAAUGGUCACGUGUGGCCAGACGAGAGUACCGUACGAAUAAGCAUCGGCUAACUCCGUGCCAGCAGCCGCGGUAAUUCGGGGGAUGCAAGCGGUAUCCCGAUUUAUUGGGUUUAUAGGGUGCGUAGGCUGUGAGGUAAGUCAGCGGGGAAAUGCCCGCGCUCAACGGGGUGAAGUGCCAUUGAUACUGCCGAGCUGGAAUGCGGAAGCAGUGGGAGGAAUGUGUGGUGUAGCGGUGAAAUGCAUAGAUAUCACACAGAACACCGAUUGCGAAGGCAUCUCACGAAUCCGCGAUUGACGCUGAUGCACGAAAGCGUGGGUAUCAAACAGGAUUAGAUACCCGAGUAGUC
This 460-nucleotide ribosomal RNA is filed under the name uncultured bacterium. RNAcentral describes it as "partial 16S ribosomal RNA". It matches the Rfam family "Bacterial small subunit ribosomal RNA", at positions 338 to 795 of the family's 1533-position model. The record is from RNAcentral.